CCUACGGGGGGCAGCAGGCGCGAAACCUCCGCAAUGUGAGAAAUCGCGACGGGGGGAUCCCAAGUGCCAUUCUUAACGGGAUGGCUUUUCAUUAGUGUAAAGAGCUUUUGGAAUAAGGGCUGGGCAAGACCGGUGCCAGCCGCCGCGGUAACACCGGCAGCUCUAGUGGUAGCAGUUUUUAUUGGGCCUAAAGCGUCCGUAGCCGGUUUAAUAAGUCUCUGGUGAAAUCCUGUAGCUUAACUGUGGGAAUUGCUGGAGAUACUAUUAGACUUGAGACCGGGAGAGGUUAGAGGUACUCCCAGGGUAGAGGUGAAAUUCUGUAAUCCUGGGAGGACCGCCUGUUGCGAAGGCGUCUAACUGGAACGGUUCUGACGGUGAGGGACGAAAGUUAGGGGCGCGAACCGGAUUAGAUACCCGGGUAGUCCUAACUGUAAACGAUGCGGACUUGGUGUUGGGGUGGCUUUGAGCUGC
RNAcentral lists this ribosomal RNA (471 nucleotides) under uncultured archaeon. Its description in RNAcentral is "bacterial SSU rRNA". It matches the Rfam family "Archaeal small subunit ribosomal RNA", at positions 322 to 793 of the family's 1478-position model. The record is from RNAcentral.